AACGAACGCUGGCGGCAGGCUUAACACAUGCAAGUCGAACGCACCUUUCGGGGUGAGUGGCAGACGGGUGAGUAACGCGUGGGAAUCUACCCUUCUCUACGGGAUAGCUCUGGGAAACUGGAAUUAAUACCGUAUACGUCCUGAGGGAGAAAGAUUUAUCGGGGAAGGAUGAGCCCGCGUUGGAUUAGCUAGUUGGUGGGGUAAAGGCCUACCAAGGCGACGAUCCAUAGCUGGUCUAAGAGGAUGAUCAGCCACAUUGGGACUGAGACACGGCCCAAACUCCUACGGGAGGCAGCAGUGGGGAAUAUUGGACAAUGGGCGCAAGCCUGAUCCAGCCAUGCCGCGUGAGUGAUGAAGGCCCUAGGGUUGUAAAGCUCUUUCAGUGGGGACGAUAAUGACGGUACCCACAGAAGAAGCCCCGGCUAACUUCGUGCCAGCCGCCGCCGUAACAC
This 452-nucleotide ribosomal RNA is filed under the name uncultured bacterium. RNAcentral describes it as "bacterial SSU rRNA". It matches the Rfam family "Bacterial small subunit ribosomal RNA", at positions 29 to 526 of the family's 1533-position model. The record is from RNAcentral.